GCUACCAGUUUAUAUGUAUUCUUGGGGGCCAACAGUUCACUUGAGAAGCCCAAGGAGGAGCUGAAGUCAAGAAAUACUGUGGUGAAGGAUGAUACUUUCAGAACCUCAGACUCACCUAAUUUGCAUAGCCAAGCAACUGCGUAUGCAAAGUUGGCUGAAUUUGAGGCUGUGAAGACUGGCUCUUUGAAGAACAGUGCAGAGCAAGAAAACCUUAAAAGAUGAAAGUGGUCUUUUCAUUGUCCUCCCAAUUUCAGCUGAAAGCACUGGGAUGCUACCAAAUCGCAAAGGUUAUAAUCUUCUUGAGUUACGACACUUAAUGAUGUUAUCAUUUAGUUUACUUUGUCGUCUCAAUUUGGGAACUCAGCUGGGAGCUGCCAGGAAUGGACAUUUCCUUUUCAUUAUCUUGAGGAACAACAAAUAUUUAAAUUUUCUCAAGUACACUACUUAAUUCUCUGUAUUGCCCUAAUUAUCUUUGAUUAUAGAGGUCAUGAAUGUGUGUGCUGCACAUAUAUUAUGGUUUUCAUAUCAAUGUUGUCUUUACUAG
This is a non-coding RNA of Prunus mume (Japanese apricot), 544 nucleotides long. NCBI's taxonomy places the organism in Eukaryota, Viridiplantae, Streptophyta, Magnoliopsida, Rosales, Rosaceae. The record is from RefSeq and is a predicted model, not a curated record.